CGUGUAGGCGGCCAAUCAAGUCGGGUGUGAAAUCCCUCGGCUCAACCGAGGAACUGCAUUCGAUACUGGUUAGCUGGAGUGCGAGAGGGGUGAGUGGAACUCCAGGUGUAGCGGUGAAAUGCGUAGAUAUCUGGAGGAACGCCAGUGGCGAAAGCGACUCACUGGCUCGCAACUGACGCUGAGGCGCGAAAGCUAGGGGAGCGAACG
This 207-nucleotide ribosomal RNA is filed under the name uncultured bacterium. RNAcentral describes it as "partial 16S ribosomal RNA". It matches the Rfam family "Bacterial small subunit ribosomal RNA", at positions 568 to 774 of the family's 1533-position model. The record is from RNAcentral.